RNAcentral lists this ribosomal RNA (322 nucleotides) under uncultured eukaryote. RNAcentral's name for it is "partial 18S ribosomal RNA". It matches the Rfam family "Eukaryotic small subunit ribosomal RNA", at positions 1470 to 1796 of the family's 1831-position model. The record is from RNAcentral.
CCCUUAGAUGUUCUGGGCCGCACGCGUGCUACACUGAGUGGAUCAGCGGGUCAGGUUGCGCGAAAGCGUUUCCUAAUCUUUAAAUCCGCUCGUGAUGGGGAUUGACGGUUGCAAUUUUCUGUCAUGAACGAGGAAUACAUUGUAAGCGCGGGUCAUCAUCCCGCGCUGAAUACGUCCCUGCCCUUUGUACACACCGCCCGUCGCUCCUACCGAUUGAGUGGUCCGGUGAGGCUUUGGGAUCUGAGCGGAAAGAGCGUUUCGCUGUUUCUGCUCGGAAAACUCAGUCGAACCUUAUCAUUUAGAGGAAGGAGAAGUCGUAACA